GGGUGUGACAAUACCAGCACUAAUGCAUCGGAUCCCAUCAGAACUCCGUAGUUAAGUAUGCUUGGGCGAGAGUAGUACUAGGAUGGAUGAUCCCCUGGGAAGUCCUCGUGUUGCACCUU
This is a ribosomal RNA of Elaeis guineensis (African oil palm), 119 nucleotides long. The record is from RefSeq and is a predicted model, not a curated record. Lineage: Eukaryota; Viridiplantae; Streptophyta; Magnoliopsida; Arecales; Arecaceae.